Molecule: ribosomal RNA, 496 nt
Filed under: uncultured bacterium
Lineage: Bacteria
Description: partial 16S ribosomal RNA
Rfam family: Bacterial small subunit ribosomal RNA
Source: RNAcentral
GAUGAACGCUGGCGGCGUGCCUAAUACAUGCAAGUCGAGCGAACGGACGAGAAGCUUGCUUCUCUGAUGUUAGCGGCGGACGGGUGAGUAACACGUGGAUAACCUACCUAUAAGACUGGGAUAACUUCGGGAAACCGGAGCUAAUACCGGAUAAUAUUUUGAACCGCAUGGUUCAAAAGUGAAAGACGGUCUUGCUGUCACUUAUAGAUGGAUCCGCGCUGCAUUAGCUAGUUGGUAAGGUAACGGCUUACCAAGGCAACGAUGCAUAGCCGACCUGAGAGGGUGAUCGGCCACACUGGAACUGAGACACGGUCCAGACUCCUACGGGAGGCAGCAGUAGGGAAUCUUCCGCAAUGGGCGAAAGCCUGACGGAGCAACGCCGCGUGAGUGAUGAAGGUCUUCGGAUCGGAAAACUCUGUUAUUAGGGAAGAACAUAUGUGUAAGUAACUGUGCACAUCUGGACGGUACCUAAUCAGAAAGCCACGGCUAACUACGU